GCCGGGUGUUGUGGCGGGCGCCUGUGGUCCCAGCUACUUGGGAGGCAGAGGCAGGAGACUCGCUUGAGCCCAGGAGUUGGAAGUUGCUGUGAGCUGUGAUGCCACAGCCCUCUACCCAGGGGAACAGCUUGAGGCUCUGUCUCAAAAAAAAAAAAAAAAAAAGAGACCCAAGCAUUUCUUUUUUUUUUUUGAGACAGAGCCUCAAGCUGUUGCUCUGGUUAGAUUGCUAUGGCAUCACAGCUCACAGCAACUUCCAACUCCUGGGCUUAAGUGAUUCUCUUGCCUCAG
Non-coding RNA from Otolemur garnettii (small-eared galago), 288 nucleotides. The record is from Rfam. Lineage: Eukaryota; Metazoa; Chordata; Mammalia; Primates; Galagidae.